ACGAACGCUGGCGGCGUGCUUAACACAUGCAAGUCGAACGGAAAGGCCCUGCUUUUGUGGGGUGCUCGAGUGGCGAACGGGUGAGUAACACGUGAGUAACCUGCCCUUGACUUUGGGAUAACUUCAGGAAACUGGGGCUAAUACCGGAUAGGAGCUCCUGCUGCAUGGUGGGGGUUGGAAAGUUUCGGCGGUUGGGGAUGGACUCGCGGCUUAUCAGCUUGUUGGUGGGGUAGUGGCUUACCAAGGCUUUGACGGGUAGCCGGCCUGAGAGGGUGACCGGCCACAUUGGGACUGAGGUACGGCCCAGACUGCUACGGGAGGCAGCAGUGGGGAAUAUUGCACAAUGGGCGGAAGCCUGAUGCAGCAACGCCGCGUGCGGGAUGACGGCCUUCGGGUUGUAAACCGCUUUCGCCUGUGACGAAGCGUGAGUGACGGUAAUGGGUAAAGAAGCACCGGCUAACUACGUG
This 467-nucleotide ribosomal RNA is filed under the name uncultured bacterium. RNAcentral describes it as "partial 16S ribosomal RNA". It matches the Rfam family "Bacterial small subunit ribosomal RNA", at positions 29 to 507 of the family's 1533-position model. The record is from RNAcentral.